RNAcentral lists this ribosomal RNA (402 nucleotides) under uncultured bacterium. Its description in RNAcentral is "bacterial SSU rRNA". It matches the Rfam family "Bacterial small subunit ribosomal RNA", at positions 355 to 774 of the family's 1533-position model. The record is from RNAcentral.
UGGGGAAUAUUGCACAAUGGGGGAAACCCUGAUGCAGCAACGCCGCGUGAGUGAUGACGGCCUUCGGGUUGUAAAGCUCUGUCUUCAGGGACGAUAAUGACGGUACCUGAGGAGGAAGCCACGGCUAACUACGUGCCAGCAGCCGCGGUAAUACGUAGGUGGCAAGCGUUGUCCGGAUUUACUGGGCGUAAAGGGAGCGUAGGCGGACUUUUAAGUGAGAUGUGAAAUACCCGGGCUCAACCUGGGUGCUGCAUUUCAAACUGGAAGUCUAGAGUGCAGGAGAGGAGAGUGGAAUUCCUAGUGUAGCGGUGAAAUGCGUAGGGAUUAGGAAGAACACCAGUGGCGAAGGCGACUCUCUGGACUGUAACUGACGCUGAGGCUCGAAAGCGUGGGGAGCAAACA